This 322-nucleotide ribosomal RNA is filed under the name uncultured eukaryote. RNAcentral describes it as "SSU rRNA". It matches the Rfam family "Eukaryotic small subunit ribosomal RNA", at positions 587 to 972 of the family's 1831-position model. The record is from RNAcentral.
AGCUCCAACAGCGUAUAUUAAAGUUGCUGCAGUUAAAACGCUCGUAGUUGUUGUCCAACUAUACGCUAUUCCAAGUAAUUGCGAAUAGUUCAAUAGUUUAGCGGAACUUGUUUCUGCCAAAACCUUGAGGAAAGAUUAGUGUUCCAAGCAAUUAAAACUUUGUCCUCCCCAGCAUGGUAUUCAACCUAACAGAAGAAAGGUGUCGACUUUCUUCUUACUAUAUAGAAAUUCAAGGGGGUAUACGUACUUUAAUGUCAGAGGUGAAAUUCUUAGAUUUUUAAAAGACGGUCAAUUGCGAAAGCAUUCACCAAGCGACUUUUCU